CACAUACUCCCUUCGUUCGAAAAUACUUGUUCUAAAAAUGGAUAAAAUGGAUGUAUCUAUAACUAAAAUAAGUCUAGUUACAACCAUUUCUCAGACAAGUAUUUCCGGACAGAGGGAGUAAAUC
Molecule: non-coding RNA, 124 nt
Organism: Triticum urartu
Lineage: Eukaryota; Viridiplantae; Streptophyta; Magnoliopsida; Poales; Poaceae
Source: Rfam